GAGGGUAUAAUUCAGUGUUAGAGCACAUGCUUAGCAUGCAAAGGUCCUGGGUUCAAUCCCCAGUGCCUCCA
Molecule: transfer RNA, 71 nt
Filed under: Camelus bactrianus (Bactrian camel)
Lineage: Eukaryota; Metazoa; Chordata; Mammalia; Artiodactyla; Camelidae
Also listed under: 2 other names
Rfam family: tRNA
About the family: Transfer RNA (tRNA) molecules are approximately 80 nucleotides in length. Their secondary structure includes four short double-helical elements and three loops (D, anti-codon, and T loops). Further hydrogen bonds mediate the characteristic L-shaped molecular structure. tRNAs have two regions of fundamental functional importance: the anti-codon, which is responsible for specific mRNA codon recognition, and the 3' end, to which the tRNAs corresponding amino acid is attached (by aminoacyl-tRNA synthetases). tRNAs cope with the degeneracy of the genetic code in two manners: having more than one tRNA (with a specific anti-codon) for a particular amino acid; and 'wobble' base-pairing, i.e. permitting non-standard base-pairing at the 3rd anti-codon position.
Source: Rfam by way of RNAcentral